RNAcentral lists this ribosomal RNA (411 nucleotides) under uncultured microorganism. RNAcentral's name for it is "bacterial SSU rRNA". It matches the Rfam family "Archaeal small subunit ribosomal RNA", at positions 330 to 743 of the family's 1478-position model. The record is from RNAcentral.
GUGCAGCAGUCGCGAAACCUCCGCAAUACACGAAAGUGUGACGGGGCCAUCCCGAGUGCCGUCCGCUGAGGACGGCUUUUCCCCAGUGUACACAGCUGGGGGAAUAAGGAGAGGGCAAGCCUGGUGUCAGCCGCCGCGGUAAUACCAGCUCUCCGAGUGGUGGGGACGCUUAUUGGGCCUAAAGCAUCCGUAGCCGGCUGGGCAAGUCCUCCGUUAAAUCCAACGAUUCAAUCGUUGGGCUGCGGGGGAUACUGUCCAGCUUGGGGGCGGGAGAGGCCGACGGUAUUCCCGGGGUAGGGGUGAAAUCCUAUAAUCCCGGGAGGACCACCAGUGGCGAAGGCUGUCGGCUAGAACGCGCCCGACGGUGAGGGAUGAAAGCUGGGGGAGCGAACCGGAUUAGAUACCCCGGUA